UAAUAAGCAAUGACGGCAGCAAUAAACUCAACAGGAGCAGGAAAGCGAGGGUAUCCUACAAAGUCCAGCGUACCAUAAACGCAAGCCUCAACGCAGCGACGAGCACGAGAGCGGUCAGUAGCAAUCCAAACUUUGUUACUCGUCAGAAAAUCGAAAUCAUCUUCGGUUAAAUCCAAAACGGCAGAAGCCUGAAUGAGCUUAAUAGAGGCCAAAGCGGUCUGGAAAC
RNAcentral lists this ribosomal RNA (226 nucleotides) under uncultured prokaryote. RNAcentral's name for it is "partial 16S ribosomal RNA". The record is from RNAcentral.